AUUUAUCUGAAGAACACUGGAGAACAUUUGGUUUAUUGUUGGAGAUCAGCCAGCAAGUAGAACUCUGUUAGUCUUGUUUUGUCUUUUGCAGAUUAGACUGGGGCAUGUGGAGAAAUGGGAAUCACACCUCAGGAAUGACUGGAAAUUGAUGGUCAGGAAUUUGUUGUAAAAAUCAGAUCAACAGGUGCAUGGAUGAACGUCCUUCCAAGAUACAAGAGUGGUGAUUGGCAUGGAUCGUGGAGAAACAGGGAAACACACGGAUGGGUGCAUGGAUGGAUGUCCUUCCAAGAGGAAGGGGAUGGUGGUGGGCAUAGAUUACAGUGAAAUAUACUUGAAGACCUGGAGCUCAGGAAGCAGGUAGAACUGAUUGAACAGACUGAACAAUGGAGUAAGAGUCCAAAGAAAUGUAUUAGGAAUAUUUAAAUACUUGAUAUCUUUCUCUUUGGCAGAUUGGUCAAAGGAAACA
Non-coding RNA from Danio rerio (zebrafish), 466 nucleotides. NCBI's taxonomy places the organism in Eukaryota, Metazoa, Chordata, Actinopteri, Cypriniformes, Danionidae. The record is from RefSeq and is a predicted model, not a curated record.